Long non-coding RNA from Oncorhynchus tshawytscha (Chinook salmon), 175 nucleotides. RefSeq lists it as uncharacterized. The record is from RefSeq and is a predicted model, not a curated record. NCBI's taxonomy places the organism in Eukaryota, Metazoa, Chordata, Actinopteri, Salmoniformes, Salmonidae. The transcript has 2 exons.
GGGGUGGGGGGGGGCUGGAGGACUAAAGAAGGGGUUAGAGGUGGUAGGAGUGGCGGCGUGGGGGCUGGAGGACUAAAGAAGGGGUUAGAGGUGGUAGGAGUGGCGGCGUGGGGGCUGGAGGACUAAAGAAGGGGUUAGAGAUGGUAGGAGUGGCGGCGUGGGGGGCUGGAGGACU